GACGAACCGUGCAAACGUUGUUCGGAAUCACUGGGCUUAAAGGGCGCGUAGGCGGACAACCAAGUCAGGGGUGAAAUCUUUCGGCCCAACCGGAAAAGGGCCCCUGAUACUGGCUGUCUCGAGGGAGGUAGGGGUCGGGGGAACUUCCGGUGGAGCGGUGAAAUGCGUAGAUAUCGGAAGGAACGCCGGUGGCGAAAGCGCCCGACUGGACCUCUUCUGACGCUGAGGCGCGAAAGCCAGGGGAGCAAACGGG
RNAcentral lists this ribosomal RNA (253 nucleotides) under uncultured bacterium. Its description in RNAcentral is "partial 16S ribosomal RNA". It matches the Rfam family "Bacterial small subunit ribosomal RNA", at positions 524 to 776 of the family's 1533-position model. The record is from RNAcentral.